RNAcentral lists this ribosomal RNA (497 nucleotides) under uncultured bacterium. RNAcentral describes it as "partial 16S ribosomal RNA". It matches the Rfam family "Bacterial small subunit ribosomal RNA", at positions 28 to 507 of the family's 1533-position model. The record is from RNAcentral.
GAUGAACGCUGGCGGCGUGCCUAAUACAUGCAAGUCGAGCGAACAGACGAGGAGCUUGCUCCUCUGAUGUUAGCGGCGGACGGGUGAGUAACACGUGGAUAACCUACCUAUAAGACUGGGAUAACUUCGGGAAACCGGAGCUAAUACCGGAUAACAUGUUGAACCGCAUGGUUCAACAGUGAAAGACGGUCUUGCUGUCACUUAUAGAUGGAUCCGCGCCGCAUUAGCUAGUUGGUAAGGUAACGGCUUACCAAGGCAACGAUGCGUAGCCGACCUGAGAGGGUGAUCGGCCACACUGGAGCUGAGACACGGUCCAGACUCCUACGGGAGGCAGCAGUAGGGAAUCUUCCGCAAUGGGCGAGAGCCUGACGGAGCAACGCCGCGUGAGUGAAGAAGGUCUUCGGAUCGUAAAACUCUGUUAUUAGGGAAGAACAAAUGUGUAAGUAACUAUGCACGUCUUGACGGUACCUAAUCAGAAAGCCACGGCUAACUACGUG